Molecule: ribosomal RNA, 468 nt
Filed under: uncultured bacterium
Lineage: Bacteria
Description: partial 16S ribosomal RNA
Rfam family: Bacterial small subunit ribosomal RNA
Source: RNAcentral
GACGAACGCUGGCGGCGUGCUUAACACAUGCAAGUCGAACGGAAAGGCCCUGCUUUUGUGGGGUGCUCGAGUGGCGAACGGGUGAGUAGCACGUGAGUAACCUGCCCUUGACUUUGGGAUAACUUCAGGAAACUGGGGCUAAUACCGGAUAGGAGCUCCUGCUGCAUGGUGGGGGUUGGAAAGUUUCGGCGGUUGGGGAUGGACUCGCGGCUUAUCAGCUUGUUGGUGGGGUAGUGGCUUACCAAGGCUUUGACGGGUAGCCGGCCUGAGAGGGUGACCGGACACAGUGGGACUGAGAUACGGCCCAGACUCCUACGGGAGGCAGCGGUGGGGAAUAUUGCACAAUGGGCGGAAGCCUGAUGCAGCAACGCCGCGUGCGGGAUGACGGCCUUCGGGUUGUAAACCGCUUUCGCCUGUGACGAAGCGUGAGUGACGGUAAUGGGUAAAGAAGCACCGGCUAACUACGUG